GACGAACGCUGGCGGCGUGCCUAAUACAUGCAAGUAGAACGCUGAAGAGAGGAGCUUGCUCUUCUUGGAUGAGUCGCGAACGGGUGAGUAACGUGUGGGAACCCUCCUUGAUAGCGGGGGAAAUCUAUGGAAAACGAUCGCAAAUCCCGCAUAAAAUGGUUUUGCAUAUGAUAAGCUAUAAAAAGGUGAAAGUGCAUCACUACCAGAUGGAUCUGCGUUGUAUUAGCUAGUUGGUGGGGUAACGGCUCACCAAGGCGACGAUACAUAGCCGACCUGAGAGGGUGAUCGGCCACACUGGGACUGAGACACGGCCCAGACUCCUACGGGAGGCAGCAGUAGGGAAUCUUCGGCAAUGGACGGAAGUCUGACCGAGCAACGCCGCGUGAGUGAAGAAGGUUUUCGGAUCGUAAAGCUCUGUUGUAAGAGAAGAACGAGUGUGAGAGUGGAAAGUUCACACUGUGACGGUAUCUUACCAGAAAGGGACGGCUAACUACGUG
RNAcentral lists this ribosomal RNA (497 nucleotides) under uncultured bacterium. RNAcentral describes it as "partial 16S ribosomal RNA". It matches the Rfam family "Bacterial small subunit ribosomal RNA", at positions 28 to 507 of the family's 1533-position model. The record is from RNAcentral.